Molecule: ribosomal RNA, 564 nt
Filed under: Triticum aestivum (bread wheat)
Lineage: Eukaryota; Viridiplantae; Streptophyta; Magnoliopsida; Poales; Poaceae
Description: partial small subunit ribosomal RNA
Source: RNAcentral
AUGUCAGAGGAUAUGGCCGCUGAUGGCUACAUGGAGAUAAUAAACAUUGACAUUUCUUCGGUUAUAAUUGAGAUGAUGAGGAAGAAGUACUUUGAUCUUGCACAGCUACAAUACAUGCAAAUGGAUGUUAGGGAUAUGAGUAAAUUCUCUGACGAAUCAUUUGAUUGCGCCAUUGAUAAAGGUACUUUGGACUCUUUGAUGUGUGGUGUGGAGGCUCCUCUCAGCGCAGCUCAGAUGGUCCUGGAAGUGGACAGGCUACUUAAACCAGGGGGAGUCUUUAUGCUGAUAACUUAUGGUGACCCAUCAGCGCGAAUUCCUCACUUGAACCAACCAGUAUGCAGUUGGAAAAUUGUACUGUACAUUCUGCCAAGAUCUGGAUUCAAGGGAAACAUAAGAAGAUCUGUCUUCGACCCUGUUCCACUGACUGAGAGUGGUAGAUUGCCUGAGGGCUUUGUUCUGGAGGAUCCUGACUCUCAUUAUAUUUAUGUUUGCAAAAAGGGCCAAGAAUUAACAGGGAUAGAUUCUCCAACCUUAAGCCACUUGAAGUUGCAAGAUUCCGAGUGA